AGUGAACGCUGGCGGUAGGCCUAACACAUGCAAGUCGAACGGCAGCACAGUAAGAGCUUGCUCUUACGGGUGGCGAGUGGCGGACGGGUGAGGAAUACAUCGGAAUCUACUUUUUCGUGGGGGAUAACGUAGGGAAACUUACGCUAAUACCGCAUACGACCUACGGGUGAAAGCAGUGGAUCUUCGGACCUUUCGCGAUUGAAUGAGCCGAUGUCGGAUUAGCUAGUUGGCGGGGUAAAGGCCCACCAAGGCGACGAUCCGUAGCUGGUCUGAGAGGAUGAUCAGCCACACUGGAACUGAGACACGGUCCAGACUCCUACGGGAGGCAGCAGUGGGGAAUAUUGGACAAUGGGCGCAAGCCUGAUCCAGCCAUACCGCGUGGGUGAAGAAGGCCUUCGGGUUGUAAAGCCCUUUUGUUGGGAAAGAAAAGCAGCAGGUUAAUACCUCGCUGUUCUGACGGUACCCAAAGAAUAAGCACCGGCUAACUUCGUG
RNAcentral lists this ribosomal RNA (492 nucleotides) under uncultured bacterium. RNAcentral describes it as "partial 16S ribosomal RNA". It matches the Rfam family "Bacterial small subunit ribosomal RNA", at positions 29 to 507 of the family's 1533-position model. The record is from RNAcentral.